This 497-nucleotide ribosomal RNA is filed under the name uncultured bacterium. Its description in RNAcentral is "partial 16S ribosomal RNA". It matches the Rfam family "Bacterial small subunit ribosomal RNA", at positions 28 to 507 of the family's 1533-position model. The record is from RNAcentral.
GAUGAACGCUGGCGGCGUGCCUAAUACAUGCAAGUCGAGCGAACAGACGAGGAGCUUGCUCCUCUGACGUUAGCGGCGGACGGGUGAGUAACACGUGGAUAACCUACCUAUAAGACUGGGAUAACUUCGGGAAACCGGAGCUAAUACCGGAUAAUAUAUUGAACCGCAUGGUUCAAUAGUGAAAGACGGUUUUGCUGUCACUUAUAGAUGGAUCCGCGCCGCAUUAGCUAGUUGGUAAGGUAACGGCUUACCAAGGCAACGAUGCGUAGCCGACCUGAGAGGGUGAUCGGCCACACUAGAACUGAGACACGGUCCAGACUCCUACGGGAGGCAGCAGUAGGGAAUCUUCCGCAAUGGGCGAAAGCCUGACGGAGCAACGCCGCGUGAGUGAUGAAGGUCUUCGGAUCGUAAAACUCUGUUAUUGGGGAAGAACAAAUGUGUAAGUAACUAUGCACGUCUUGACGGUACCUAACCAGAAAGCCACGGCUAACUACGUG